UGAGGUUUUAUUUAAUUAACCUCUUGUUUUCUGGACUUGAUGAAUCUGAAGCUUAAAUAACCUCAAGGUGAGAGGGAGCUGAUCUGGACUACUAGUUUAACAAAGUAGUUCAUUCUUUUAUCAGUCAAGAGAAUGCAGCCACAUUAAAAGGAUGCAUUAUUUCUGUUUUUGACCGUUGGAAAAGCUGUGUGCUGCUUCUUAUUAUCUCGGAAGAUUGAUGUCUUCACAUAAGUUGUUCCUACUUUCUCAUGCAGGGCUGCCCAUGCUUUGGCUCUUUGCGUGCAAGCAUCUGAAUUUUAUCCAGAUGCAAGAAUGUGAUCAUAAAAGAAACACCACUUCAGUUAAGACUUGAGAUGAUUAAGAGUUCAGAUGAAAUAUCGUACCAGUGUUUCAGUUUUUGGCCAACCACUAGUCCCAGUCCUUGCAUUAUUCGCUUGGGUUUAGAAGCCUGUGAGCGUAGGAUACUGAUGUCUCCAUUGAGAGUUUUCCACGCUCUCAUACAUGAAUUUGGACCUUCACCGCAACCGUUGCUGCCAUGUGACGUUUAGAAAGGAAGGAUCUGGGUUGAUCCUUUAACUUUGUGUAUGUAUGUAAUCUGCUCUGAACAGCCUCGCCGACUGGUCUACGCGCCCAUUUCUGCUUCAGAGUGCUUUAGAGGGCCUGGAGUUGUAAUAUUAUUUCUGUUUGGUUGAACUCUUGAUGGAGGUAGGCUGUCUGUGUGAAUGUCACGUUAGUGCUGUAUGCACCUUCUUUUUGUGAAUCUGUUUGCUGUGUGAUC
This is a long non-coding RNA of Lolium rigidum, 778 nucleotides long. RefSeq lists it as uncharacterized. NCBI's taxonomy places the organism in Eukaryota, Viridiplantae, Streptophyta, Magnoliopsida, Poales, Poaceae. The record is from RefSeq and is a predicted model, not a curated record. The transcript is spliced from 2 exons.